UCCUACGGGAGGCAGCAGUGGGGAUCUUGCGCAAAUGGGCGAAAGCCUGACGCAGCAACCCGGCGGUGGGGGGAUGGACGGCCUUCGGGUUGUAAACCUCUUUCGACAUCGACGAAGCCGGCCUUUGGUGGAUGACGGUAGGUGUAGAGGAAGCACCGGCUAAAUACGUGCCAGCAGCCGCGGUAAUACGUAGGGUGCGAGCGUUGUCUGGAUUUGUUGGGCGUAAAGAACUCGUAGGCGGUUUGUCACGUCGGCCGUGGAAACCUGCAGCUUAACUGUGGGCUUGCGGUCGAUACGGGCAGACUUGAGUUCGGUAGGGGAGACUGGAAUUCCUGGUGUAGCGGUGAAAUGCGCAGA
This 357-nucleotide ribosomal RNA is filed under the name uncultured Saccharopolyspora sp. RNAcentral's name for it is "bacterial SSU rRNA". It matches the Rfam family "Bacterial small subunit ribosomal RNA", at positions 337 to 694 of the family's 1533-position model. Lineage: Bacteria; Bacillati; Actinomycetota; Actinomycetes; Pseudonocardiales; Pseudonocardiaceae. The record is from RNAcentral.